RNAcentral lists this non-coding RNA (215 nucleotides) under Ruegeria sp. E923. The record is from RNAcentral. Lineage: Bacteria; Pseudomonadati; Pseudomonadota; Alphaproteobacteria; Rhodobacterales; Roseobacteraceae. RNAcentral also lists the same sequence under 1 other name.
CCGCAUGAGAGGGGCGAUGGUUCCCCGACGCCUAAGGCCGGUGGGAUGAAAAGGGAAUUCGGUGCGGAGGAGCCAAAGGGCGCCAAAUCCGAAACUGCCCCCGCAACUGUAAGCGGCGAGCGCCCCGUCACAGCCCACUGAUCCUCAUGGAUCGGGAAGGGAGGGACGCGCAAUAACCCGCAAGUCAGGAGACCUGCCAUCGCGACUUUUUAACC